Molecule: ribosomal RNA, 261 nt
Filed under: uncultured bacterium
Lineage: Bacteria
Description: partial 16S ribosomal RNA
Rfam family: Bacterial small subunit ribosomal RNA
Source: RNAcentral
GUCCACGCCGUAAACGAUGAGUGCUAGUUGUCGGGCGGCAUGCCGUUCGGUGACGCAGCUAACGCAUUAAGCACUCCGCCUGGGGAGUACGGUCGCAAGAUUAAACUCAAAGGAAUUGACGGGGGCCCGCACAAGCGGUGGAGCAUGUGGUUUAAUUCGAAGCAACGCGCAGAACCUUACCACCUUUUGACAUGCCCUGACCGCCGGAGAGAUCCGGUUUUCCCUUCGGGGACAGGGACACAGGUGCUGCAUGGCUGUCGU